Molecule: long non-coding RNA, 946 nt
Organism: Passer montanus (Eurasian tree sparrow)
Lineage: Eukaryota; Metazoa; Chordata; Aves; Passeriformes; Passeridae
Exons: 3
Source: RefSeq, a predicted model, not a curated record
GGCGCGGCCCCGGUAACACACGGGCACGGGCCCGGUAACUCAGGGGCGCGGCCCCGGUAACCCACGGGCACGGGCCCGGUAACCCACGGGCACGGCCCCGGUAACCCACGGGCAGCCCGCACCCCUGAAGGGCAGGGCCGGCUGACACACGGAGCCCGGGGUUCCCCCGCCGGGCCCCUCGGCCUGAGGGGAAGGCAGAGCCGGGGCCGAGGGCCCGGCCUGGAAAACCCUUGGAAAGGCCGGGAGCGAAGGGCACGGGCAGCGCGAGCUGGUGGAGGACAGUACUAGUGCUGCACUUCUGCUAUCAAUAGAGGAAAAAAAACCCACUUACUAUCCAGGGGAAAAUGUUCUUUAGCUGCUUAAUCUGGUUGGAUUGACAGAUCUAAGUAUGCAGGAGAACAAGGACAUCCCUUAAGCUCCUGAUUCCAUGUCUGCUAAUGAACACCUAUACCUUGGUUUUCAGCUAGAAUAUUCUAACUCAGUAAGAUACUAGAUGCCCGUCAGAAGACACAUAUAUACUAUAAACUUCUCGAGUUGUGGGUUUUUUUUAAAUGUUAUACAAUGUCCUUAUCAUCUGAUAUAUCUCCUUGUUAUUUCCAUACCACAUCACUAAGUCACAGAACUUUACUGUUUGUUCAGAUGACUCAUCUUUCCAAUGUGAUUCAUCAAAUUACGCAGCUAUGAAACCUUAUGAGAUUUCAACUGGUGUCUCGUGAAGCUGUACACCUCCACUUCAUUUUAUUAUGAUUCCCUACUUCUGCCUCCUUCAUAGGCUACUUCCAGCUCGGUAGUGAAAUUCCAGUACAGGAAAAAGCUACAAUUUUCAAAAGGAUGACAUCAGUAAUUAAGCCUUCAAACCAAGGACUGAAAUUUGUACCUCCACCUUCACUGUUAUUUCAGUGGGCAUUGUGAAUACAACAUUCUCUAACUUCAAAUGGGUUUGCAU